This 8271-nucleotide long non-coding RNA is filed under the name Gossypium barbadense (sea-island cotton). Its description in RNAcentral is "long non-coding RNA (GBAR_LNC014907)". Lineage: Eukaryota; Viridiplantae; Streptophyta; Magnoliopsida; Malvales; Malvaceae. The record is from RNAcentral.
AUAAAUUUAAUAGUAUGAUAUUAGUAGUAGGAUUCAAGAUAUAAAGUUAUAUACAUAAAUUUGUUAGGUUGAAUCAUGAAGUUAUUGAGCUGGAUUUGGUGUUUGAAUUUCAUGAACCUAUGUGGUUCAAAGAUAUAGGUUAUAAAUUUUGAGCUGAAUUUUUAUGUAUGGAUUUAUAUACAUAUAUAGUUCGAAUAUGAAUUACAGCUUCUUUGAACUGAAAUUAUUGUUGUGAAUUAUACAAGUAUGUUUUAAGUGCAUGAUUGUUACGUAGAAUUGAAUAUAAUUCAAUUCCAACGGAGAAACGACUAUCGGAUUUAUUGCCAGUGAAAUUAUUCAGACUAUACGUCUAGCAGACUAAGUGCCGGUGAACUGAAUCAGGCUAUAGGCCUAGCAGGCUAAGUGCCGGUGAACUGAAUCAGGCUAUAGGCCUAGCAGGCUAAGUGCCGGUGAACGGAAUUAAACUAUAAGCCUAUCAGGUGAAGUGCCAGUGAAUCUGUUUAAAUUAAGUGAUUCUAUGCAUUGGGCAUAAAUAUAUAUGAUUUUGUUUAUAUGAAAUGGAUAAAUUUAUGAACAUUGUUUCAAGGUGGUUGAUGAGUAUAUAAUCGUUCGAAUCCUUGUGAAUAGUGAGUAUGUAUAUAUAUAUCGGUUGUCAUGAAAUUGUUGGAUAUAUAUGAAUAUAUAUGUAUGCAUUCGGCAUAGGUGGGUAUAAGUGUAUAUGUGCAUUCGGCACUUAUAGUUGAUAAGUAUAAAAAUUAUGCUUUUGGUAUAUGUAUUUGAACAAUUAUAUUUAAAUGGAUCCGAUGAAGUGCGAACAAUAAGUACUAUAGAAAUCAGUAAAUGCAGUUAAUGAUUAUGUAGUAAAUUGAUUAUAUGCAUAUAAUGUAUAUACAUUUGUCCGUUUAUGUGUAUUAGAUAAAUACACAUCCUUUUAGAUUUAAACAAAAUGACUUAAUAUAGCAAUGUUUGAUUAGUAAUUAUAAUUGAUAAUUGUGAUUUCAAUAAAUUUACUUAAAGAUUUAUUUGAUUCUUUUAUAUGUAUUUUAGAUAUGCUAUAGACUUACUAAGCUAUAAAAGCUUACUUUGAUUGUUUUUGUCUAUUUGUUUUUAUAGAUUUUGGAGACGCGUUACGAGCUCGGGGAUCAUCAGCAUAGUCUAUCACACUAUCGACUACUUUUGGUAUUUUUUUAAAUAUUUGAACUUAAUCUUAUGGCAUGUAUAGGUUUGAGUACGAUGUUAGUUAGAUUUUGAUUGGAAAUUAUAAAUAGCAAUGCGAAAAUGAUUUAAUUUUCAUGUUUGUGAUCAGUUUGGUUUUAAAAAUGGUUGUGUUUGUUCGGUAAUGCCUCGUAACCCUAAUUCGGUGACGUAUACGGGUUAGGGGUGUUACAUUUUAUUUGUAUCAGAGCUACGGUUUAGUCGAUUCUCGGACUAACGUAGUGUAUAUGAGUCUAGCUAUACAUGCCAUAAUUUUUAUACUGAGAUAGUGUGAUGACUGCUGGCAUCUAAAAAUGUGUUUUCGUAUAGUAAUGGAUCCCGAACGAGCCGUAGCCGAUGAUGUUGAGAGUAUAGCGCCUGCUCCCGCGCAAGGGACAGAGCCGGUAGAUUCUUGACCGACCUCGAAUAACCAGGAGGGAGAGGCUAAACAAGCCUUUUACCAAAUGAUGAAUGACUGGUUUACUCAAUAUGUCUGAACUAAUCCGGUUGUACAACAACCUCCAACCCCGACUAAUCCAUCUUCGGUUCCUGUUAUACCUCAAGUAAGUGAUCCGAUGAGAUUACUUAAACCUUCUGUUGAUAAAAUUUGAAAACACGAGGCCGAAGAGUUCAGAGCUACUGAUGAUGAUGACGCUGAGCGAGCUGAAUUCUAGCUAGAUAAUACUAUUCGAGUAUUUGAUGAGUUAUCUUGCACCCCUGACGAGUGCUUGAAAUGUGCCAUAUCCUUGCUACGGGACACUGCAUAUCACUGGUGGAAUACACUAGUAUCGGUGGUUCCGAAAGAGCGAGUGACCUGGGAAUUCUUUCAGACUGAGUUCCGUAAGAAAUAUAUUAGCGAGAGAUUCAUUGAUCAGAAACGUAAGGAAUUUCUUGAAUUGAAAUAGGGUCGGAUGACAGUGACAGAAUAUGAACGGAAAUUUGUAAGACUCAGUAGAUAUGCUCGAGAGUGUGUUUCGACUGAAGCUAUUAUGUGUAAAAGAUUUGAAGAUGGGCUGAAUGAAGAUAUUAAACUGUUAGUGGACAUACUUGAGAUAAAGGAGUUCGUAGUACUUGUUGAACGAGCUUGUAAAGCUGAGGAGCUCGGGAAAGAGAAGAGGAAAGCUGACUAUGAAGCUCGAGAUUCCCGUAAACGAUCAUUUAGUAAAUCGUUCCAGUCGACCUUAAGGAAAUCCAGAGAGGAUCAUAGCCGAUCUAAAGCUACUACAGGGUUUCCUAAGUAUGAUCGAGAUCGACCCCUUGUGAGUUCACGAGCUACUUCAGUUGCUAGCGUUGGUAGUGUUCGACAAAAUAGAUCAGAGUGCAAGCAUUGUGGGAAAUGGCAUCCUGGAGAUUGCGGAUUACAUGAUCGGUCUUGCUUCAAGUGUGGUUCAAAGGAUCAUUUCAUUCGAGAGUGUCCGAUGGUAGCUGAUCAAAAUACUGUACAGAAUACCAGACCGAGUAAUGUGUCAGUACGGGGUAAACCGCCAAGGCAUUUGGGUAAUGUAAGUGGUAGUCAGAGAGGGACAAAGGACACAGCAGUUCGAUCUGAGGCUCGUGCACCUGCCAGAGCAUAUGCUAUCCGAGCUCGAGAGGAGGCUUCUUCUCCAGAUGUUAUUACUGGUACUUUCACUCUUUAUGAUACUAAUGUUAUUGCGUUGAUUGAUCCUGGUUUGACUCAUUCUUAUGUGUGUGAGACCUUAGUAUUCAGUAAGACUCUACCUAUUGAGUCUACUGAGUUUGUAAUUAAAGUAUCAAAGCCCUGGGCCGGUGUGUGUUGGUUGACAAAGUGUGUAAGAAUUGUCUGUUGAUGAUUCGAGAUUUAUGUUUUCCCGCUGAUUUGAUGUUGUUGCCAUUCGACGAGUUUGAUAUAAUUUUGGGUAUGGAUUGGUUAACUCUGCAUGAUGCUAUUGUAAACUGCAAACGAAAAACUAUUGAUCUACGGUGUCGGAAUGAUAAGAUUAUUCGGAUUGAAUCUAAUGAUCUGAAUUGUUUACCAGCAAUAAUAUCCUCGACGUCGGCUCAGAAGUAUGUGUGAAAAGGUUGUGAAGCUUAUCUUGCAUUUGUUCUUGAUAAUAAAGUGACCGAAAAGAAGAUUGAAUCCGUGCCAGUAGUGUAUGAGUAUUCAGAUGUGUUUCCUGAAGAAUUACCGGGUUUGCCACCUAUUCGUGAGGUAGAGUUUAGUAUUGAGUUAGUACCAGGGACGACUCCAAUCUCGAUAGCUCCGUACCGUAUGGCACCGACCGAAUUAAAAGAAUUGAAAGUACAGUUGCAAGAGUUGACUGAUAAAGGUUUUGCAUGACCGAGUUUCUCUCCUUGGGGUGCACCAGUUCUGUUUGUGAAAAAGAAAGACGGAACGAUAAGAAUAUGUAUUGAUUACCGGCAGCUCAAUAAGGUGACUAUAAAGAAUAAAUAUCCGUUGCCACGUAUUGACGAUUUGUUUGAUCAGCUAAAAGGGGCUUCAGUGUUUUUGAAGAUAGAUUUGAGAUCAGGUUACUAUCAGUUGCGAGUUAAAGACUCUGAUGUGCCAAAAACAGCUUUCCGAACGAGGUAAGGACAUUACGAGUUCCUGGUUAUGCCUUUUGGACUUACUAAUGCACCUGCUAUUUUCAUGGAUUUGAUGAAUCGGAUCUUUAGGAAGUAUUUGGAUCGGUUUGUGGUAGUAUUUAUUGAUGACAUUUUGAUCUACUCUCGUGACGAAAAUGAGCAUGUCGAACAUCUGAGACUUGUGUUAAAAACUUUACGAGAUAAGCAGUUGUAUGCAAAGUUUAGUAAAUGUGAGUUCUGGUUACGUGAAGUCAGUUUUCUGGGCCAUGUUGUAUCAGCAUCGGGUAUUCGGGUUGAUCCGAGUAAAAUUUCAGCUAUACUUGAUUGGAAACCUCUGAGGAAUGUUUUGAAAGUUCGAAGUUUUCUGGGGCUCGCUGGUUAUUAUAGACGGUUCGUGAAAAGGUUCUCUGUGAUUGCGACCCCGAUGACAAAGUUACUACAAAAAGACGUUAAGUUCGAGUGGUCAGAAAAGUGUCAGAAAAGUUUUGAUCAAUUGAAAGUUCUUUUGACCGAAGGUCCAGUCUUAGUUCAGCCAGAAUCGGGUAAAGAGUUUGUUAUUUAUACUGAUGCAUCCUUAAAUGGUUUGGGCUGUGUUUUGAUGCAGGAAGGCAAAGUUGUAGCCUAUGCCUCGAGGCAGUUAAAGCCGUAUGAAAAAAACUAUCCAACGCACGAUCUGGAAUUAGCCGCUAUUGUAUUUGCGUUGAAAAUUUGGCGCCACUAUCUGUUUGGUGAAAAAUGUCAUGUUUAUUCCGAUCACAAAAGCCUGAAGUAUUUGAUGACUCAGAAGGAUCUGAAUUUGAGACAGCGCCGAUGGUUAGAAUUACUAAAAGAUUACGAGCUUGUGAUUGACUAUCAUCCGGGAAAGGCUAAUGUUGUUGCUGAUGCCCUAAGUCAAAAAUCACUGUUUGCUUUGCGUGCAAUGAACGCGCAUGUGGCUAUGUCUGAUGAUGGAGCGAUAGUAGCUGAGUUGAAAGUAAAACAUUAUUUGUUCAACAGAUUUGUGAAGAUCAGAAAGCCGAUGAUGAUUUAAUUGCAAAACGAACUCAGUGUGAUUUAAAUGUUGAUUCAAAGUUUCUAGUUGAUGCUGAGGACUGUUUGAGAUUCAGAAACAGAUUAUGUGUUCCGAAAAAUCCAGAGUUAAUUCAGAUGAUUUUGAAUGAAGCCCAUAAUAGUCAAUUUUCUGUUCAUCUGGGUAGUACGAAAAUGUAUAACGAUCUGAAACAACACUAUUGGUGGCAUGGUAUGAAACGAGACAUUUCUGACUUUGUUUCGAAAUGUUUAAUAUGUCAGCAAGUAAAAGCCGAGCAUCAGGUACCUUCUGGAUUGCUUCAGCCGGUCAUGAUACCUGAAUGGAAAUGGGACAGAGUUACGAUGGAUUUUGUAUCCGGUUUACCGUUAACACCAAGCAAGAAAGAUGCAAUUUGGGUUGUUGUUGAUAGAUUAACAAAAUCGGCUCACUUUGUUCCGGUCCGUAUUGAUUAUUCACUUGAUAAACUUGCUGAAUUGUACAUUUCUCAGAUUGUGAGGUUGCACGGAGUACCUGUUUCUAUUAUUUCAGACAGAGACCCGAGAUUUACAUCGCGGUUUUGGAAGAAAUUACAAGAUGCUUUAGGUACGAAGCUAUAUUUUAGCACAGCUUUUCAUCCGCAAACAGAUGGUCAAUCCGAGCGAAUCAUUCAGAUACUUGAGGAUAUGUUGAGAUGUUGCAUUCUCGAGUUUAAAGGUACGUGGGAACGAUACUUACCUUUGAUUGAAUUUGCUUAUAAUAAUAGCUUUCAAUCUAGUAUCAAAAUGGCACCUUACGAAGCUUUGUACGGUCGUAAAUGUCGUACACCAUUGUAUUGGACCGAGCUCAGUGAAAAUAAGAUACACGGGGUUGAUUUGAUUAAAGAGACCGAACAGAAAGUGAAAGUGAUUCGGGAUAGUCUGAAAUCAGCAUCGGACCAUCAGAAAUCUUAUGCGGAUUUGAAAAGAAAGGAUAUAGAAUUUCAGAUCGGGGACAAAGUGUUUUUGAAAGUAUCACCGUGGAAGAAAAUACUCAGAUUCGAUCGUAAAGGCAAAUUGAGUCCGAGAUUCAUUGGACCGUAUGAGAUUAUAGAGCGUGUCGGACCGGUUGCUUAUAGAUUGAUGUUACCUCCUGAGCUAGAAAAGAUUCACAAUGUAUUUCAUGUUUCGAUGCUUCGUAGGUAUCGAUCCGAUCCUACACAUGUGAUUAGUCCGUCAGAGAUUGAGACUAGAUCUGAUAUGUCAUAUGAAGAAGAACUGAUUUACAUUCUAGCUCGUGAGGUCAAAGAGUUACGAAAUAAGAAAAUUUCGUAAGUCAAAGUAUUGUGGCAUAAACACGGAGUUGAAGAAGCAACUUGGGAGUCAGAAGAUGCAAUGAAAGAACGUUAUCCAAACCUAUUCAUCGGUAAGAUUUUCGGGGACGAAAAUCCCUAAAGGGGGGAGAGUUGUAACAACCCGAUUUCGACUCUAAUUGGACAUAGUGGUUUCGGGACCACAAGUCCGAGUUAAAAAAUAUUUUAAUAUUAUUUUGUGUGUUUAUUAUGUGUGAAUUUAAUUGUGUGAAAUUUUCGUGUUUUAAUUUUGUCGUUUGAGUGUCUGAUUAAAUAAAAAAGAUUAAAUCGCGUAAAAUGAAAAUUUUGUGAUUAAAUAUGAAAGUGUUUAAUUGUUGUUGUCUUUAUAAUUUGGAGGUUCUAUGAUGCAAUUAGCCCACUAUAUAAGUUAGUGGAUGCCAAUGGUCAAGAAUGACCUUAUAUUAUAUGUUUUGUAUAUUAAUUAUUUAAGGUUAAAUUGGUAAACUAAAAAUUUUGAUAAUAUAUGUUAUAAUAAAACAUAAAAAUAAAAGAAACAUGCAAAAAGGUUCAUCAUUUUAGCCGAAACUUCAAAAGACAAAGAAAAAAAAAGAAAGCUUGGUUCGGCACUUGUAAUCCUUAAUUUAGGUAUGUAUUUUGUUGGGUUUUUAAAAUUUUUUACGUUUUUAAGAUCGUUGCUUCGUGUUCUUCAAAACCCAUGUUUUAAUUUUGUGAAUUGUGAAUAAUUUUGAAAUGUGCCAUUGAUGAAUGUUGAGUUUUAUGAUGCUAGUAGGUGAAAUAUGAAAUAUAUUUGUUAGAUUAACAUGUAUUGUUUUUGAAUUUUUGAUGAAAUUGAGUAAUUAGGGUUAAAUUGUGAAAAUAAAUUUUUCAAGGGACUAAAAUGCUAAAUAAAUGAAAAUAUGGAAUUAUAUAGACACUAGGAAUAUUCGGCCAUAGGAGUGUAGUUAAAUUUUGUGUAUUUUGUGUUUUGAGCAAAAAGGAUUAAAUUGUAAAAAGUGUGAAAUGUUAGGGGAAAAAUUAUAAUUUUCCCAUUCAUGUAUUUUUAGGAUAAAUUGAAUAGAAUGGUGUUUAAAUAAGCUUAAUUUGAAUAUGAUUUAGAUCAAGAAUUAAAGGAAUCGGAUUUGGAUCGGGGAAAGACAAAAGUGGUCGAGUAGCCGAUUUAACAGUCAACGAUAUCCGAGGUAAGUCUAUUAGCAAUUUAAUGUUAUUAACUCAACAUAUAUAUGUGUGUGUAUAUUUAUUAUAUAAUUGAUGAGCUAUAAUUAAAAGUAUAUAAAUUGAAUUUAGUUAAUAUAAGCAUUUAUAUAUGUAAAUAAGAAGUUCGAAUAAGUAUGUAUAUAUAAGUAUAAGUUUUUGGAGUUAAGUGAAAGUAUGGAUGUUAUAUUUGUAUUUAUAAUGUUCGAAUAUAUAUAUGUAUAUAUAUAAAUAAGUUUUUGAAUUUAGUUGAAUUGUGAAUGUUAUAAAAAUAUUCAUAGGGUUCGAAUAAGCAUGUAUAUACAUUUUUAUAUUGAAUUUAAGUAUGAAAUUAUAUAUGUAUAUGUUAGAUUCGAAUAUGUAUAUAUGUACAUGUAUAAGUUAUUGUAUUGAAAUUAGAUAUGAAGUUAUAUAAAUGAGUAUGAGGUUUGAUUGUGUAUGAAUAUAUAUAUAAGUUUAUGAGUUGAAUUAUAAGUAUAAAUUAUAUAUAAAUGAAUAUGAGGUGCAAAUAUGUAUGUAUACACAUGUAUAAUUUUUGUAUUGAAUCAAAGGUAUGAAAUUAUUAGCUUAGAUUAUUUAUAAUAUGUUUGAAUGUAUGAUAUGUUUUCUUUGAAGUGAAUUUAAUGCCAUAAAAUGUGUAUGUAUUUAAGUAAUUCGAAUGUUAAAUGUAUAUUACUUAGGGUAUAUUAUAAAUUUAAUAGUAUGAUAUUAGUAGUAGGAUUCAAGAUAUAAAGUUAUAUACAUAAAUUUGUUAGGUUGAAUCAUGAAGUUAUUGAGCUGGAUUUUGUGUUUGAAUUUCAUGAACCUAUGUGGUUCAAAGAUAUAGGUUAUAAAUUUUGAGCUGAAUUUUUAUGUAUGGAUUUAUAUACAUAUAUAGUUCGAAUAUGAAUUACAGCUUCUUUGAACUGAAAUUAUUGUUGUGAAUUAUACAAGUAUGUUUUAAGUGCAUGAUUGUUACGUAGAAUUGAAUAUAAUUCAAUUCCAACGGAGAAACGACUAUCGGAUUUAUUGCCAGUGAAAUUAU